GAGUUUGAUCCUGGCUCAGGAUGAACGCUAGCGGCAGGCUUAACACAUGCAAGUCGAGGGGUAACAUUGUGCUUGCACAGAUGACGACCGGCGCACGGGUGCGUAACGCGUAUAGAACCUACCUUUUACAGAGGGAUAGCCUUUAGAAAUGAAGAUUAAUACCUCAUAGUAUUGCGAUUUGGCAUCAGAUUGUAAUUAAAGAUUUAUCGGUAAAAGAUGGCUAUGCGUCCUAUUAGUUAGUUGGUAAGGUAACGGCUUACCAAGACAUCGAUAGGUAGGGGUCCUGAGAGGGAGAUCCCCCACACUGGUACUGAGACACGGACCAGACUCCUACGGGAGGCAGCAGUGAGGAAUAUUGGACAAUGGAGGAGACUCUGAUCCAGCCAUGCCGCGUGCAGGAAGGCUGCCCUAUGGGUUGUAAACUGCUUUUAUACAGGAAGAAACACUAGUACGUGUACUAGCUUGACGGUACUGUAAGAAUAAGGACCGGCUAACUCCGUGCCAGCAGCCGCGGUAAUACGGAGGGUCCGAGCGUUAUCCGGAAUCAUUGGGUUUAAAGGGUCCGCAGGCGGUCGAUUAAGUCAGAGGUGAAAUCCCAUAGCUUAACUAUGGGACUGCCUUUGAUACUGGUUGACUUGAGUCAUAUGGAAGUAGAUAGAAUGUGUAGUGUAGCGGUGAAAUGCAUAGAUAUUACACAGAAUACCGAUUGCGAAGGCAGUCUACUACGUAUGUACUGACGCUCAUGGACGAAAGCGUGGGGAGCGAACAGGAUUAGAUACCCUGGUAGUCCACGCCGUAAACGAUGGACACUAGUUGCUGGGAUUUAUCUCAGUGACUAAGCGAAAGUGAUAAGUGUCCCACCUGGGGAGUACGAUCGCAAGAUUGAACUCAAGGAAUUGACGG
This 903-nucleotide ribosomal RNA is filed under the name uncultured bacterium. Its description in RNAcentral is "bacterial SSU rRNA". It matches the Rfam family "Bacterial small subunit ribosomal RNA", at positions 9 to 916 of the family's 1533-position model. The record is from RNAcentral.